CUCCUUGUUGCACUCAGAUGUCAGAUCUCAGAUAGAGUUCUAGUAUGAGCAUCCACUGCUUACUGCUUGCUUAGUAUUUUACUCACUGCACUCUAGCAACUAGCAUCUAGCAUUUCUGUUGGUAGAUAAAAUAAAGACAAAAGGGCGAAAGAAAUCUAAAAGCUAGGAAAGAAUAAUUUUAUUAUCCACAAUUAUGGAUGCAGACUCAAGAAAAUCGACCACAAGUGGUCUAGAUCGCAUUUUUAAAUCAACACUUGUUUUUAAAAUGAUCGAAGGCUACAAAUAUUCCGUUAAAAUAAGUCACACAAAUACAACUGCAGUUAAUAUUAUGAAAUCGAGUGAUCCUGGUCCAAAACUAAAGAACUGGAUGGUUCGAUUUGAUAAUCCUCAUAAAAAUGUUCAAUAUGCUCACAUCAAUUUGAGAUCCAAGUAUACUGGAAUUAAAGAUCCACACGCGAAGUUGCCACCAGGCUCAAUUACUGCAGUUCAGGGUGCUGCGUAUAUAGGAAAAGCCUUAGAUUGGCUUUGCUAUAUAACUGUGAUUGUGG
Molecule: long non-coding RNA, 548 nt
Organism: Episyrphus balteatus (marmalade hoverfly)
Lineage: Eukaryota; Metazoa; Arthropoda; Insecta; Diptera; Syrphidae
Exons: 3
Source: RefSeq, a predicted model, not a curated record